RNAcentral lists this unclassified non-coding RNA (1543 nucleotides) under Hevea brasiliensis (rubber tree). Lineage: Eukaryota; Viridiplantae; Streptophyta; Magnoliopsida; Malpighiales; Euphorbiaceae. The record is from RNAcentral.
GGAAGCCUCAACUACAAAAUGAACAUCAAGAGGCUACACGAUGAACAAACCGGGGUUUCUAACAAGUGAACUCAAAAUAAAAUGCAAGAAUGCCAUACCUGAGAUCUGAUGAACAUGCUAGUUAAACCGGCUUUCCCUCAAUAUGUCUAGAGGAUUCGACAUAUACAUAGAUAAGACAUCUUAACUUGGCCUCAACCGACAACUGAACAAUCCAACUUUGAGAAAUGCACAUGUCCAGAAACCUCACCUAAUCUCCACUGUGUCAGUUGAACACUCCAAAAUUUAUCGGUGUCAAACAUCCAUGAGACACAACGGAGAGGAGUUGAGGUUUCUCAAAGUUGAGGCUAAGUUAAAGGUGUUUAUGUAUGUAUUAUGCCUACCUAUUUUCCCAGUAUGACUUCUCCGAUGAAGGGGAUUCAGUGGAAUCCCUCACGUGCACCUAGCUCAGCCCCGGCAUUUAGGACAAAAUCUGAACAAGGAAGUGUGUGGUAAUCAAGGUAACUGCUCUUGCUGUAUCAGAUGGUUUUGGAGUAGCAGUUGCUGCUGCUCCGGAGGUUGUUGCUGAUUAUCUAAAUGUUGUUCCUGCUGAAGUUGAUUAUUUGGUGUCUGCUCGUGAAGCUGGUCUUCCGACUGCUGAGGCAGCUGUUGAUCUUCUUGCCAAGUCCAAACGAUAUCUUGAAGACCCGGUCUUAGGCCUUCGUUCAAUAUCUGUUGAUAUUCCAAUGUAUCCCCGUUUGAUUUUUUAACUUCCACCAAAUGAAAAGCUUCAACAACCUCAAAGAUCUCCACGUCAAUGCUCAAAGUUCCCUUUUUUCCUUCUUUUGUUCCUUCGAACUUCAGUAAUCCUGCAUCCCUUUUGCAAACUUUCAGCUUCAGAUGUUUAGCAAUAUUUUCGAGCUUGGAUAUGAUCACUGAUGCAGUUUUCCGGGAUGUGAAUUUAGUUUCUUUCUUUAAACAAGGUUCCUCGAACAAUCUGGAUAAAUCAAACUUAGCAUAAAGGGAAAUGAUAUCAAAAGCAUUCAACUUUGGAAUCGAAGCCACUUCUUGCUUGUCCUCUUUAUUUGCUGAAGCUAAAUCCGUGCUUACGUCGUCUACUACUGUAGAUUUAGAGGAAGUUGAAAUUCCCCUCCGGAACCACGAACUUGCUCUAAUUUUUGCAAGGGAAAUUCUUGAACUUGGAUUAGGAUCCAACAUUCUUGAAAGUAGACGUCGGGCUUCUGGUGGAAACCAACUCGGACAUUUGUAAUCAGCUUUCCCAAUCUUCCUAUACAUUUCCAUCAAAUUUGAGUCUUGAAAUGGAAGAUAACCAGCCAACAGAACGUAUAGGACAACCCCACACGACCAGAUAUCAGCCUUAGUCCCAUCAUAGCCUCUUCUGUUAAUCACCUCUGGAGCAACAUAAGCUGGAGUCCCACACGUCGUGUGGAGGAGUCCGUCUUGGUGCUUUGACUCAACGAGAGCACUUAAACCAAAAUCUGAAAUUUUUAAGUUUUCAUCGUCAUCUAACAGCAAGUUUUCAGGUUUCAAAUCCCGGUGAUAGACA